GACGAACGCUGGCGGCGUGCUUAACACAUGCAAGUCGAACGGAAAGGCCCCCUUGUGGGGUACUCGAGUGGCGAACGGGUGAGUAACACGUGAGUAACCUACCCUUGACUUUGGGAUAACUUCAGGAAACUGGGGCUAAUACCGGAUAGGAGCUCCUGCUGCAUGGUGGGGGUUGGAAAGUUUCGGCGGUUGGGGAUGGACUCGCGGCUUAUCAGCUUGUUGGUGGGGUAGUGGCUCACCAAGGCUUUGACGGGUAGCCGGCCUGAGAGGGUGACCGGCCCCAUUGGCCGUGAGGUACGCCCCAUCCCCCUUCGGACGCCAUCAGUGGGGUAUUUUUCGCAGUGGUCUGGAGCCUGAUGCAGCACCCCCCUGCGGGGUAUCACGCCCUUUGUUUUGUAACCCUUUUUCCCCUGUCCCGUAGCGUGGGUACCGUUAAUUGUUAAAGAGCCCCCCUCUAUCUACGCC
RNAcentral lists this ribosomal RNA (465 nucleotides) under uncultured bacterium. RNAcentral's name for it is "partial 16S ribosomal RNA". It matches the Rfam family "Bacterial small subunit ribosomal RNA", at positions 28 to 507 of the family's 1533-position model. The record is from RNAcentral.